Molecule: long non-coding RNA, 1017 nt
Organism: Gadus macrocephalus (Pacific cod)
Lineage: Eukaryota; Metazoa; Chordata; Actinopteri; Gadiformes; Gadidae
Exons: 2
Source: RefSeq, a predicted model, not a curated record
GAAAAAAAGGAAAUAUAUAAAAAAUAGAAUAUAUAUAUAUUUAUAUAUAUAUAUAUAUAUAUAUAUAUAUAUAUAUAUAUAUAUAUAUAUAUAUAUAUUUUUUUUUUUUUUUUAAUAAUCUCCCCAGAAAGCACUAUAAAAUAAUAAGUCCGGCGCUUUUAUUUAAUUUUUAGUCGACCCUGGCUUGCUUCUUCCGGCUGAGUUCGUCUGGAGGGGCAAGAGGGGCUCUAGCCCCACCAGCCCAAUGCAAUGUGUAUUGGACUGGAACAUUGAAAUGCGCAUGCUCAGAGUGUUUCUCUGUUGAAGUGGACGGAGAUUAUUUUACUUACUGGUGGGGCUAGCCCAAUAUGUCCAUGGUGUGGACUUGGGACCGUUAAAUAUCCCAGGAUGCAUUUCGCAUUUCGCAUUUCGCAUUCCUGUUUUAAAAUAUCAGUGUGUUUCAUUUGAUAAAAACGACAGUGUUACCCCUUAUGUUUUUUUCCCAUGAUGCAUGAUGAAAAACAACAGUGUUACCCCUUAUAUUUUAUUUGACAAGGAAAUAUUAUUUUUUUUCAAAUAUGUUUUUUUUCAUGGCGACCAAUAAAAUACAACAGUGUUACCCCUUAUAUUCUAUUUGACAAAGACAACAGUGUUACCCCUUAUGUUUUUAUUCAUGACGACCAAUAAAAAAACAAGUGUUACCCCUUAUGUUUUUUUUCAUGACGACCAAUAAAAAACAACAGUGUUACCCUUUACGUUUCAUUUGAUAAAAACGAAAGUGUUACCCCUUAUGUUAUUUUCCCACGAUGACUGAUGAAAAAUAACAGUGUUACCCCUUAUAUCUUUUUUCAUGACGACCAAUAAAAAACGACAGUGUUACCCCUUGUGUUUUUUUUCAUGACGACCAAUAAAAAACAAGUGUUACUCCUUAUGUUUUUUUUCUUGACGACCAAUAAAAAACUACAGUGUUACCGCUUAUGUUUUUUUUCAUGACGACCAAUAAAAAGCGACAGUGUUACCCCUUAUAUAUUUUUUCAU